RNAcentral lists this ribosomal RNA (429 nucleotides) under uncultured bacterium. RNAcentral describes it as "bacterial SSU rRNA". It matches the Rfam family "Bacterial small subunit ribosomal RNA", at positions 355 to 775 of the family's 1533-position model. The record is from RNAcentral.
UGGGGAAUAUUGGGCAAUGGGCGAAAGCCCGACCCAGCGACGCCGUGUGGGUGAUGAAGGCCUUCGGGUUGUAAAACCCUUUCGUGCGGAAAGAAUAGUCCUGUAGCGAAUAACUACGGGAUUUGACGGUACCGCAGGAAGAAGCACUGGCUAACUCCGUGCCAGCAGCCGCGGUAAUACGGAGGGUGCAAGCGUUGUUCGGAAUUAUUGGGCGUAAAGGGCGCGUAGGUGGUUGUGAUAGUCAGAUGUGAAAUCCUUCGGCUCAACCGAAGAACUGCAUCUGAAACUUCAUAGCUCGAGUACAGGAGAGGGAAACGGAAUUCCCGGUGUAGAGGUGAAAUUCGUAGAUAUCGGGAGGAACACCAGUGGCGAAGGCGGUUUCCUGGCCUGAUACUGACGCUGAGGCGCGAAAGCGUGGGGAGCAAACAG